This is a non-coding RNA of Cricetulus griseus (Chinese hamster), 747 nucleotides long. Lineage: Eukaryota; Metazoa; Chordata; Mammalia; Rodentia; Cricetidae. The record is from RefSeq and is a predicted model, not a curated record.
GACCUGCCCCUGUAUGUCUUCUUCUCCUCCCUCUUCCGGUGCUUGUUGAUUACACCGAGCUCAAGUUGAAACAGGACAGUUUUUCCUAGCUUCUGUUUGCUUCCCUCCCUCAUCCGUAUGCCUGGAUCAUUUAUCUGUGCCUGCUUCCAGCCUGGAGAACUCCUACACACACUGAAGCGUCAGCUCCCUGUAAUCUCAUCCGGGAGGCUUUCCAAUUCUCCUGGUGUUCCUGGCUAUCAGCUAACUUGGCACGCGCGGGAUAGGAUUUUCAUACAUUUUCCUGUCUCCCUCACGAGAUGAGUAAUUCAAGGGCUGUGUCUUCUCUCCCCAAACUCCAGUGAAACAGUUCUUCAUAACGCUUAGGACAUUUGUGGUAGACACAGCUCUCUGACAUGCAGGUGUUUUCUUGUUUCAGCUAAUCAUUCCGUAUUAGGGCCUGCAGCACUUCCGGUUUUGGUAUUCAGGAAUUCAUACUGAAAUGUUCCAGGGACUCUGAUCUACAAAGGCUCCGUUCCUCGAAUGCAGUGCCAUUUGAGAACACGAGGUGGCACCCGUGGAGGGCUGUUAGAUUGGCCCUAGACCAACACCCGCCCCCUCAUUAGCCUACAUUGUUGUGCCAAAAUACUUGUGAAAAAUCAGCUUGAGGAAGGAAAGGUUUGUUUUGCUCACAGAGAUCUUCAUCAAGACAGGGAAGUCAUGUCUUCAGGAGCAAGAGGUCACACAGGAGGCACAGUCAGAAAUCAGAGG